This 497-nucleotide ribosomal RNA is filed under the name uncultured bacterium. Its description in RNAcentral is "partial 16S ribosomal RNA". It matches the Rfam family "Bacterial small subunit ribosomal RNA", at positions 28 to 507 of the family's 1533-position model. The record is from RNAcentral.
GAUGAACGCUGGCGGCGUGCCUAAUACAUGCAAGUCGAGCGAACAGAUAAGGAGCUUGCUCCUUUGACGUUAGCGGCGGACGGGUGAGUAACACGUGGAUAACCUACCUAUAAGACUGGGAUAACUUCGGGAAACCGGAGCUAAUACCGGAUAACAUAUUGAACCGCAUGGUUCAAUAGUGAAAGGCGGCUUUGCUGUCACUUAUAGAUGGAUCCGCGCCGUAUUAGCUAGUUGGUAAGGUAACGGCUUACCAAGGCAACGAUACGUAGCCGACCUGAGAGGGUGAUCGGCCACCCUGGAACUGAGACACGGUCCAGACUCCUACGGGAGGCAGCAGUAGGGAAUCUUCCGCAAGGGGCGAAAGCCUGACGGAGCAACGCCGCGUGAGUGAUGAAGGUCUUCGGAUCGUAAAACUCUGUUAUCAGGGAAGAACAAAUGUGUAAGUAACUGUGCACAUCUUGACGGUACCUGAUCAGAAAGCCACGGCUAACUACGUG